Molecule: ribosomal RNA, 305 nt
Filed under: uncultured bacterium
Lineage: Bacteria
Description: bacterial SSU rRNA
Rfam family: Bacterial small subunit ribosomal RNA
Source: RNAcentral
ACCCUACGGGAGGCAGCAGUGGGGAAUAUUGCGCAAUGGACGAAAGUCUGACGCAGCGACGCCGCGUGAGGGAUGAAGGUUUUCGGAUCGUAAACCUCUGUCAGGAGGGAAGAAAGCGCAUGGCGCCAAUCAGCCAUGCGUUGACGGUACCUCCAAAGGAAGCGCCGGCUAACUCCGUGCCAGCAGCCGCGGUAAUACGGAGGAUCCAAGCGUUAUCCGGAUUUAUUGGGUUUAAAGGGUGCGUAGGCGGAUUGAUAAGUUAGAGGUGACAUGUCCGACCUUAACUCGGGAACUGCCUCUAAUAC